RNAcentral lists this ribosomal RNA (639 nucleotides) under Aerococcus sp. AK-42. Its description in RNAcentral is "partial 16S ribosomal RNA". It matches the Rfam family "Bacterial small subunit ribosomal RNA", at positions 38 to 666 of the family's 1533-position model. The record is from RNAcentral. Lineage: Bacteria; Bacillati; Bacillota; Bacilli; Lactobacillales; Aerococcaceae.
AKCGCAUGCUAUACAUGCAGUCGAGCGAACAGAUGAAGUGCUUGCCUUCUGACGUUAGCGGCGAACGGGUGAGUAACACGUAWGGAUCUACCUAUAAGCGGGGGAUAACAUUCGGAAACGGGUGCUAAUACCGCAUAAUAUCUUCUUCCGCAUGGAAGARAUUGAAAGACGGCUCUGCUGUCMCUUAUAGAUGACCUUGCGGUGCRUUAGUUAGUUGSUGGGGUAMYGGCCUACCAAGACGAUGAUGCAUAGCCGACCUGAGAGGGUGAUCGGCCACAUUGGGACUGAGACACGGCCCAAACUCCUACGGGAGGYAGCAGUAGGGAAUCUUCCGCAAUGSGCGAAAGCCUGACGGAGCAAUGCCGCGUGAGUGAAGAAGGCCUUCGGGUCGUAAAACUCUGUUAUAAGAGAAGAACAAAUUGUAGAGUAACUGCUACAGUCUUGACGGUMUCUUAUCAGAAAGCCACGGCUAACUACGUGCCASCAGCCGCGGUAAUACGUAGGUGGCAAGCGUUGUCCGGAUUUAUUGGGCGUAAAGGGAGCGCAGGUGGUUUCUUAAGUCUGAUGUGAAAGCCCACGGCUUAACCGUGGAGGGUCAUUGGAAACUGGGAAACUUGAGUACRGAAGAGGAAUGUGGAA